Molecule: ribosomal RNA, 254 nt
Filed under: uncultured bacterium
Lineage: Bacteria
Description: partial 16S ribosomal RNA
Rfam family: Bacterial small subunit ribosomal RNA
Source: RNAcentral
UACGUAGGGUGCAAGCGUUAAUCGGAAUUAUUGGGCGUAAAGAGCUCGUAGGCGGUCUGUCGCGUCGGCUGUGAAAACUCGGGGCUCAACUCCGAGCUUGCAGUCGAUACGGGCAGGCUAGAGUUCGGCAGGGGAGACUGGAAUUCCUGGUGUAGCGGUGAAAUGCUUAGAUAUCGAUCAAGAACACCGAUAGUGUAGACAGCUUACUAGGCUGAAACUGACGCUGAGGCACGAAAGUGUGGGGAUCAAACAGG